CAUCGUCCACUCGGACGAUCACCAAUGAUCUUUCAGUCUGUGAGGAUCGCCUUCGGGUGACUGAAUCACUUUUCCAGAGCCUGUAAGGAAAAGGGCGUGAUUAAGAAGCGCGGUAAAUCUGCCAUCCUUUGAGAGCAGAUGUCACCAGGUAGUUUAAA
The sequence is a small RNA, 158 nucleotides long. It matches the Rfam family "STAXI RNA". The record is from Rfam.